AAACAAUGCAAAAAGACCGAAAAUAUUUCGAUUUAUUGGAGGUGAAGGUAAUGGAUGCAUCACCCCCAAUUGAGUCCUUAGCUUAUCUACAAUAGGGUCUUCUUGAAAACUAGCAAAAUUGUUACUAGAACGACUAGAAGCUUCUAAUUCCUCAGAGACUCUUCCAUAAGCAUCCAAUUCAUCAGCAAAUCUCUUAAUUACAAUAUUUCUAGCUCCUCUUCUA
This 223-nucleotide unclassified non-coding RNA is filed under the name Hevea brasiliensis (rubber tree). The record is from RNAcentral. Lineage: Eukaryota; Viridiplantae; Streptophyta; Magnoliopsida; Malpighiales; Euphorbiaceae.